This 492-nucleotide ribosomal RNA is filed under the name uncultured bacterium. RNAcentral's name for it is "partial 16S ribosomal RNA". It matches the Rfam family "Bacterial small subunit ribosomal RNA", at positions 29 to 507 of the family's 1533-position model. The record is from RNAcentral.
AGUGAACGCUGGCGGUAGGCCUAACACAUGCAAGUCGAACGGCAGCACAGUAAGAGCUUGCUCUUACGGGUGGCGAGUGGCGGACGGGUGAGGAAUACAUCGGAAUCUACUUUUUCGUGGGGGAUAACGUAGGGAAACUUACGCUAAUACCGCAUACGACCUACGGGUGAAAGCAGGGGAUCUUCGGACCUUGCGCGAUUGAAUGAGCCGAUGUCGGAUUAGCUAGUUGGCGGGGUAAAGGCCCACCAAGGCGACGAUCCGUAGCUGGUCUGAGAGGAUGAACCACCACACUGGAACUAAGACACAGUCCAGACUCCUACGGGAGGCAGCAGUGGGGAAUAUUGGACAAUGGGCGCAAGCCUGAUCCAGCCAUACCGCGUGGGUGAAGAAGGCCUUCGGGUUGUAAAGCCCUUUUGUUGGGAAAGAAAAGCAGCAGGUUAAUACCCCGCUGUUCUGACGGUACCCAAAGAAUAAGCACCGGCUAACUUCGUG